Molecule: long non-coding RNA, 2969 nt
Filed under: Olea europaea subsp. europaea
Lineage: Eukaryota; Viridiplantae; Streptophyta; Magnoliopsida; Lamiales; Oleaceae
Source: RNAcentral
ACCUUAUAUGCCGUUAAAAGUUUAAACAACUUCACAAAAUUUAAGAAAACGACUAGAGUCGUUUAAAAAAGACUAGAGUCGUUUAAAAAAUUUGUUCUUGCAUGUUUGCCAAGAACACAGCUUUCACAAAUUUCAUUUGAAUGAUCAAUAUUUGGCAACUACUUCAGCAUCUUUUUCUUUGACAACAGUCUUAAUCCUUCAAAAUUUAAAUGUCCAAGUCUCAAGUGCCACUACCAAUUCUUAUAAUUUAUAAUGGCAUUUAAACAUUUUGGUGAGUCAUGAGGAAUUUUAAAGCAAACAUUCUGCUUUCAGACAUUCGUACUUGGGAUAUUGGAUAUCCACGAUUAUCUUUGCUUGAGUCUUUUAAACUAAUGUCAUAUCUCUUUUCUAGGAGCUGUCUCAGACUUAAUAAAUUAUGCUUGAUAUCCGGCACAUAAUAAACAUCAGUAAUAUAACUGUAACCACUAUUAUUGAGCUUGAUUAAGAUGUUACAUUUUCCUUUUACUGGAACUUUGGAGAGGUCGCCAAAAGAGACAUAGCCAUGCGAAGUUUCAUCAAGCUCCACGAACACAUGCUUUUUCCUACACAUAUGAUUACUUGCUCUUGUAUUGCAUGAUGAGCCAUCAAUACUAGUGAUUUUGGCUCACUUGUAUCACCAAAGUUGGUAUUUUUGCCAACUUCAACUUCAGCAAUUUUUGCGUGACAUUCAUUGCUGUAAUCUCCAUACUUAUGACAGUUAUAACACUGCACGUUCCUUUUGUCCCCCAUUUGAUGAUUAAAACCAUUUUUGCGUCUUUCUUUUCCUCUAUUUUGUCCUCUACCUCGACUCUGUAUUGACCUCUUCCUCUUUGAUAAAUUUGUUGUUGAAUUUCAUGUCCACCAUUGAUGUUAAAUCUUCUUCCUCUUUCUCUAUUAUUAAAACCUUGUUCUCUUUGAAAUCGGCCCCUUCCUCGACUUGGUUGUGAAUUUCCUUCAUCUUCUUUAUUUUCUUGAAAAGCAAGCUUUGAUUACAAUGUUUGAUCAAGAGAUUUUGAUGAAGUUUUUUUAUUGAUCCAUUGUUCAUGGAUCUUUAAAGAAGCCAAUAGUUCAUUAAUAGCCAUAGUACUGAGGUCUUUGGAUUUCUCAAUUGCUAUGACUGCAUUAUUAAACUUCGAAUUUAGAGAACAAAGAAUUUUUUCUAUUACCUGCAAAUCUUUGAUCUUUUCUCCACUACACUUGAUAUUGUUCACUAUAGUGAGGACUCGAGUAAAAUACUCCGAGAUUGACUCACUAUCAAGCAUCUCCAAUGUUUCAAAUUUGCUUUUCAGCAUUUGUAGGUGAAUUAUAAUAUCUUUUCGAUACCUCGAAAUGAAUUUUGAAGUGCAUUCCAUGCUUCUCUUACGUUUGUAAUAGAAGCAAUCUUCUCAAAAUUCCAUUUAUCUAAUGAUAUAUUAGAUACAAGGCCUUCUGAUCUUUCUUCCUUGUUUCCUUGAGUGCUGCCUUUUCAGCUACACUUAAUACGUCUUCAUUAGCUUUAGACGUAGUUCUGUAUAACUUUUCUCCACCAUUUCCCAUGGGUCUUGAGAUGCUAAGAGCACCUUCAUUUGUAUGAUCCAAUUCUCAUAAUUCUCCUUUGUCAGCUUUGGUAGUUGUGGUUGGAAAAAACUAGUUGAGGAAGCCAUAUCGAAUUGGAAAUGAAGAUUUCAUCACUCUUUUUUUAUUCUUUCUUGGCUCUGAUACCACUGAUGGGUAGAAGUUGUGAUAUAAUGUCACUUUUCACUCAAAUAAUCAAACUUUCAUAAAUCUCACAACAUAUAUUUCAUACAAUAAAGCUAUUUUCUCUCAACAACUCUCUUAUACAAACAUGAAAAUUUCUCUUCUACCCGAUAAUUUACAAUACAUAACAAUACAUCUAUUUAUAGGAAAAAAAUAAGGAGUGUUCAAGUUGAUCAAGUAAGUUUCCUUAACCUCCUUUAGUAGAAGAAGUCAAUUGAGGCAAGUAACCUUAUCCCAUAUCCUUUGAUAGAAGGAGAGUUCAAGAUGCUCAAGUAACUUCCACCUCCUUUAAAAGAAGAGUUCAAAAUGGUUACGUAACUUCUUUAAAAACUCUCGGCAAAUGAUGAGUUUUUCCUUCACCGUCUAAAAUUCUACUAUCCAAUAAAAACUCUUGCUUAAUCAAGUUACAUUUUGACUAAGUCAUCAUCUUGAUAUCUUUGAGCUUUCUUUUAUUUCUAGAGUUCACUUGAUCAAGUUUACAUUACUUUCAGCAGUUUGUUUGUUCUCAAGUAGGAAAGGAUAAAGGUUAAAAAGUAUUCAUUCACUUACCCAACCCUUAACUAGUGAUUUCCGAACCAAAGACCAAAGUAUAAUGGUCAGUUCAAAUAUACAGAAGAUAAGAGUUGAUGUAUAUAAGUUAACAAAGUUUUACCUAUAGUUUGUAUGGGCAUCGGCUUUGAUCCAGUCACCUUAGUAAUGAGCAAAAAAUCACAAAUAAGUCAAAAUAAUAUAAGUUUCUAUAAAACGUGACGACUAAUAUUUAUUCAUAUUAAAAGUAAACUUUAAGCUCAUGUUGCAGAAGAAACAGCAAAAUUCGAAUUUAAAAUUUUUACGUGGAUUGGCUUGGGAUCAAACGAUACCAACAAGCAAAUAAACAAUUUAGAUAACCUCGCCCAUGAGUAAUUACAAAGAAAAAUAAGUGAACGUUUACAAGGUGUGUCAAAAUACCUCGAGGAUAUAAUGAGCUACCUACAAUUCAUCACCAGCCAAGAUGCCAACAGAAGGUCCAACUUGGAACAUCCACUGUAUAGGAGGUGAAUGGAAAUAUAAAUUUCAAAAUAAGGUUCAUGAAAAAAAAAAAUCAAAAUAGGUAGCUAGUGACGAAAAAGUCAACAGGUCAAUUUUACAUGGCUGGGCAUCAUUUCUCCAUUGAUGCCUCUUAUUUUGAUUCCUAGGUCAAGGAAUGCUUUAUACUGUGCACGUCCGAAAGCUUU